UUUACUUUAUUUUAUCUUUUAUAGAGUUUCAUCCUAAGCUGUUAGGACUAACAGGAACAAAUGAAGAGGUACAUACAGCAGCUAAAGCUUAUCGAGUCUAUUACAGUCCAGCACCUGUUGAUGAUGAUAAUGAUUAUUUAGUUGAUCACACUAUUAUAAUAUACCUCAUCAAUUCAGAGGGAGACUUUGUAGACUAUUACUGUCAAAACAAGACAGCAGAUCAAGUACACGCUGGCAUUAGCAAUCAAAUGCUUAAGUAUAAACACAGGAAGUGAUGAGAAGACACUAAAACAAUACAUGCACACAAUCAUCAAUUGACUUUCAUAUAAUACCAUUUAAUAAUAAUACUAAUUUUAAUGUAAAAGGAAUUUAUUUCACACA
This is a long non-coding RNA of Amphimedon queenslandica, 381 nucleotides long. RefSeq lists it as uncharacterized. The transcript has 2 exons. NCBI's taxonomy places the organism in Eukaryota, Metazoa, Porifera, Demospongiae, Haplosclerida, Niphatidae. The record is from RefSeq and is a predicted model, not a curated record.